RNAcentral lists this long non-coding RNA (1932 nucleotides) under Gossypium barbadense (sea-island cotton). RNAcentral's name for it is "long non-coding RNA (GBAR_LNC014582)". Lineage: Eukaryota; Viridiplantae; Streptophyta; Magnoliopsida; Malvales; Malvaceae. The record is from RNAcentral.
AAACUUGUUCCUUAAUAUAAAUACACUUCAAGACUCAUGAGAGAGAUGUCUAAACAUCAAGAUCAAGAGGAAAGUAUCCAAAUCUUUAUUCUUUCAUCUCUCUUGUAAAUAUUUUCUAGGAGUGUAACACCCGUCACUCGACCCAAUCGUCAGGUUUGAGCUGCAGGAUGCUACAUUCGUUGCCGGAGCAACUACUACUUAUUUUGUUACAUUCACAUCAUUUGCAUUCAUUAAUUUUACCUUUUCAAUAAAUUAGGGUCAAACAUCCAUUUGUAUACAUACCUUGCCAUUUACCUUUAAUCACCCGUUGAACCAUCUAGAAUUACAUUGGAUACUCAGGAAUGCUCACGCAUAGUGCACCUUUCCAUAUAAACAUAACAUUUCCUUUUCAAUAGUGCUCACAUGAGCUGUGAAAUGAGUAUGCUUACACGAGCUAUGGGUCGGAAUGUUAGCUACACGAUGCUGCUCACACGAGCUGUGGAGAAUCCACAAUAAAUGCAGGACCUCAGCCAUUAGUAGGACAUUCAAGACCAGCACCCGAAACAUGAAAUCCUUAAUGACAUGUCAUUCGUAUCCUAAGAAUUCUUAAGGUUCAAACAGGAUCAUUUAUCCAUCAAUUAAUCAAAACGCCAACAUAUUUGUAUAAUCAAAUUGAUUUAUACUAACAUAAUAUAACAAAUAACCAAUCAAAUUAUCAUUAAUAAAAUUAUAAUUCAUACGAACUUACCUCAACAAUUAUGGUUGCAAUAACAAAGUUGAAGUCUAGUCCAAAACAUUAGUUUUUCCCUGAUUUAAGUUCGGUUGUUAUUUAUCUUUAACCAAAUAGAUAAUUUCAUUCAAUUAAGUACUUCAAGUAUUCAAUUUAAUCAAUAAUUUACAUUAUCAUAAAAUUAUGAAUUUACCCUCCUAUUUUAACUUUUUCACGAAUUAGUCCUUAAGGUUUAAAACUUGUAAAAAUACUAUUUUUACCCUCCAUACAUGCUAACCGAACCUCUUAGGACCCAUACCAGCCCAUUCAAGACAUCAUCUCAUAAUGUUACCAUGGAAUUUUACUAUUUUAAUUAAUUAAUCCCUAAACACAAUUUUACCAAAAAUCACUUAACAAAACAUGUUCAUUUGACAAUCAAAUUUACUAAUCUAUAAAUUAACAUCACAAAUUCAUCAAUUUCAUUCCUAACAUAUCCCUCAAACUUUAAUAUUUUUACAAAUUAAUCCCCAGGUUAAGUAGUUUAAGCUAAAACAAGCUCAAAAACAUAAAAAUUACUAAAAACGGGGCCCAAAUACAUACCAUGCAUGAAGGAAACUCAAAACCAAAGCUUUCUCCCCUCCUUCAAUGGCUAUUUAUGUGAAAACAAGAAAAAUGAAAAGAAGACGAUAGCUUUGCUUUGUUUAUUUCAUGAUUUUUUAUUAUUUACUCAUUUACCCUUAUAUUAUAACUUAAAAACUAACAUAUAACUUAAAAACAUGUCCAUAUUUGUCCACCAUCAACAUAUAUGGUAUAAUUACCAUAUAAGUUCAUUAAUUCAUCUUAUUAAAGCUUUUCAGUCCACCUAAUUAAUAAAACUCAACUUUUACACCUUUUUCAAUUCAGUCCUUUUUACCUAAUUAACUAUUUAAACUUAAAAAUUUCUUAAUGAAAAUUUUAUACUACCUUAAAUUAACCCUAUACAUAUUAAAUAAAUAUUAAAAUAAUAACUCACUUGUCGAAGUCGUGGUCUCAAAGCCACAGUUUUUGACACCACUGGAAUUGGGCUAUUACACUUUUUUUAAGCAUUAUAGUCAAAUAUCAAUUUAGUUGAUAUACCAUUAUCAACUUUACAUUUUAUAUCCAUACUAACUUGGCUCAGACUCAAACGGAUACACAAAUCCAACCAACACACUAAAUUUGGCACUCAACCUCAUCAGAAAAUUUGAAGUAAAUAUUUUGUGUUC